UACAGAGACUGCAAGCGUUAUUCGGAUUCACUGGGCGUAAAGGGUGCGCGGGCGGCCGUAUGUGUGAGGCGUGAAAGCCCGGGGCUUAACCCCGGAAUUGCACCUCAAACUAUACGGCUAGAGCAUUGGAGAGGGUAGCAGAAUUCAUGGUGUAGCAGUGAAAUGCGUAGAUAUCAUGAGGAAUGCCAGAGGCGAAGGCGGCUACCUGGACAAUUGCUGACGCUCAGGCACGAAAGCGUGGGGAGCAAACAGG
Molecule: ribosomal RNA, 253 nt
Filed under: uncultured bacterium
Lineage: Bacteria
Description: partial 16S ribosomal RNA
Rfam family: Bacterial small subunit ribosomal RNA
Source: RNAcentral